ACGCUGGCGGCGUGCUUAACACAUGCAAGUCGAACGGUGAAGCCCAGCUUGCUGGGUGGAUCGGUGGCGAACGGGUGAGUAACACGUGAGCAAUCUGCCCCUGACUCUGGGAUAAGCGCUGGAAACGGCGUCUAAUACUGGAUACGAACCGUGGAGGCAUCUUCAACGGUUGGAAAGAUUUUUUUGGUCAGGGAUGAGCUCGCGGCCUAUCAGCUUGUUGGUGAGGUAAUGGCUCACCAAGGCGUCGACGGGUAGCCGGCCUGAGAGGGUGACCGGCCACACUGGGACUGAGACACGGCCCAGACUCCUACGGGAGGCAGCAGUGGGGAAUAUUGCACAAUGGGCGCAAGCCUGAUGCAGCAACGCCGCGUGAGGGAUGACGGCCUUCGGGUUGUAAACCUCUUUUAGCAGGGAAGAAGCGAAAGUGACGGUACCUGCAGAAAAAGCGCCGGCUAACUACGUGCCAGCAGCCGCGGUAAUACGUAGGGCGCAAGCGUUAUCCGGAAUUAUUGGGCGUAAAGAGCUCGUAGGCGGUUUGUCGCGUCUGCUGUGAAAUCCCGAGGCUCAACUUCGGGUCUGCAGUGGGUACGGGCAGACUAGAGUGCGGUAGGGGAGAUUGGAAUUCCUGGUGUAGCGGUGGAAUGCGCAGAUAUCAGGAGGAACACCGAUGGCGAAGGCAGAUCUCUGGGCCGUAACUGACGCUGAGGAGCGAAAGGGUGGGGAGCAAAC
Molecule: ribosomal RNA, 729 nt
Filed under: uncultured bacterium
Lineage: Bacteria
Description: bacterial SSU rRNA
Rfam family: Bacterial small subunit ribosomal RNA
Source: RNAcentral